This 451-nucleotide ribosomal RNA is filed under the name uncultured bacterium. Its description in RNAcentral is "bacterial SSU rRNA". It matches the Rfam family "Bacterial small subunit ribosomal RNA", at positions 329 to 794 of the family's 1533-position model. The record is from RNAcentral.
GCCCAGACUCCUACGGGAGGCAGCAGUGGGGAAUAUUGGACAAUGGGGGGGACCCUGAUCCAGCGACGCCGCGUGAGUGAAGAAGUAUUUCGGUAUGUAAAGCUCUAUCAGCAGGGAAGAAAGAAAUGACGGUACCUGACUAAGAAGCCCCGGCUAACUACGUGCCAGCAGCCGCGGUAAUACGUAGGGGGCAAGCGUUAUCCGGAUUUACUGGGUGUAAAGGGAGCGUAGACGGCCAUGCAAGUCUGAUGUGAAAACCCGGGGCUCAACCCCGGGACUGCAUUGGAAACUGUGCGGCUGGAGUGUCGGAGAGGCAAGUGGAAUUCCUAGUGUAGCGGUGAAAUGCGUAGAUAUUAGGAGGAACACCAGUGGCGAAGGCGGCUUACUGGACUGUAACUGACGUUGAGGCUCGAAAGCGUGGGGAGCAAACAGGAUUAGAUACCCCAGUAGA